RNAcentral lists this ribosomal RNA (490 nucleotides) under uncultured bacterium. Its description in RNAcentral is "partial 16S ribosomal RNA". It matches the Rfam family "Bacterial small subunit ribosomal RNA", at positions 28 to 507 of the family's 1533-position model. The record is from RNAcentral.
GAUGAACGCUAGCUACAGGCUUAACACAUGCAAGUCGCGGGGCAGCAUGGGGGUUGCUUGCAAUCCCCGAUGGCGACCGGCGCGCGGGUGAGUAACGCGUAUCCAACCUGCCCUUCACCACGGGAUAACCCGGCGAAAGUCGGACUAAUACCGUAUGUUGUCCAUUGACGGCAUCCGAUUUGGACGAAAGGUUUGGCGGUGAAGGAUGGGGAUGCGUCCGAUUAGCUGGACGGCGGGGUGCCGGCCCACCGUGGCGACGAUCGGUAGGGGUUCUGAGAGGAAGGUCCCCCACACUGGAACUGAGACACGGUCCAGACUCCUACGGGAGGCAGCAGUGAGGAAUAUUGGUCAAUGGGCGUAAGCCUGAACCAGCCAAGUAGCGUGCAGGAUGACGGCCCUAUGGGUUGUAAACUGCUUUUAUGCGGGGAUAAAGUGGCCCACGUGUGGGUUUUUGCAGGUACCGCAUGAAUAAGGACCGGCUAAUUCCGUG